AAUUUUUAAAUAUUAAUAUUAGAAAACAAGACAAAAAACCCUAGGUAAGACAAUAAUUUUUUGCAGUGUGAGGGAGAAGAACCAAGCCCUGAGGGAACGUAGUGAACGAGCAGCUUCGGAUGACAGCGGCUCACUUUUGGCGUGGCUUGACAACACUUUGAGGCAGGAUAAAAAGCUCCAGGAACAAUUUCUUUAGAGUAUCUUCUCUAAUCACCUUUCCAUUAAUACAACCUGGACUGGUGUAGGGAAUCAAGCAUGUUUUAGAGACCUGUUUCUGAAGACCAUUGUUCAAAG
This is a long non-coding RNA of Paramisgurnus dabryanus, 294 nucleotides long. RefSeq lists it as uncharacterized. The record is from RefSeq and is a predicted model, not a curated record. Lineage: Eukaryota; Metazoa; Chordata; Actinopteri; Cypriniformes; Cobitidae.